UGCCAGCAGCCGCGGUAAUACGAAGGGACCUAGCGUAGUUCGGAAUCAUUGGGCGUAAAGAGAAUGUAGGCGGAAUUAUAAGUCUGGUGUGAAAUCCCACAGCUCAACUGUGGAACUGCAUCGGAUACUGUUUUUCUUGAAUUGUAGAGGGGGUCGCGGAAUUUCUGGUGUAGAGGUGAAAUUUGUAGAUAUCAGAAAGAACACCGGUGGCGAAGGCGGCGACCUGGCUAUUAAUUGACGCUGAGAUUCGAAAGCGUGGGUAGCGAACAGGAUUAGAUA
This 279-nucleotide ribosomal RNA is filed under the name uncultured bacterium. RNAcentral describes it as "partial 16S ribosomal RNA". It matches the Rfam family "Bacterial small subunit ribosomal RNA", at positions 506 to 784 of the family's 1533-position model. The record is from RNAcentral.